GUGGACGCCAGUCUGCAUGGAGCCGACCUUGAAAUACCACCCUUUAAUGUUUGAUGUUCUAACGUGGACCCGUAAUCCGGGUUGCGGACAGUGUCUGGUGGGUAGUUUGACUGGGGCGGUCUCCUCCUAAAGAGUAACGGAGGAGCACGAAGGUUGGCUAAUCCUGGUCGGACAUCAGGAGGUUAGUGCAAUGGCAUAAGCCAGCUUGACUGCGAGCGUGACGGCGCGAGCAGGUGCGAAAGCAGGUCAUAGUGAUCCGGUGGUUCUGAAUGGAAGGGCCAUCGCUCAACGGAUAAAAGGUACUCCGGGGAUAACAGGCUGAUACCGCCCAAGAGUUCAUAUCGACGGCGGUGUUUGGCACCUCGAUGUCGGCUCAUCACAUCCUGGGGCUGAAGUAGGUCCCAAGGGUAUGGCUGUUCGCCAUUUAAAGUGGUACGCGAGCUGGGUUUAGAACGUCGUGAGACAGUUCGGUCCCUAUCUGCCGUGGGCGCUGGAGAACUGAGGGGGGCUGCUCCUAGUACGAGAGGACCGGAGUGGACGCAUCACUGGUGUUCGGGUUGUCAUGCCAAUGGCACUGCCCGGUAGCUAAAUGCGGAAGAGAUAAGUGCUGAAAGCAUCUAAGCACGAAACUUGCC
This 635-nucleotide ribosomal RNA is filed under the name Escherichia coli. RNAcentral's name for it is "partial 23S ribosomal RNA". It matches the Rfam family "Bacterial large subunit ribosomal RNA", at positions 2164 to 2798 of the family's 2925-position model. The record is from RNAcentral. Lineage: Bacteria; Pseudomonadati; Pseudomonadota; Gammaproteobacteria; Enterobacterales; Enterobacteriaceae.